GACGGAGGGGGCAAGCGUUGUUCGGAAUUAUUGGGCGUAAAGGGCUCGUAGGCGGAUCUGAAAGUCUGAUGUGAAAUCUCCACCGCUCACCGGGGAGGGGCCAUUGGAUACUGCAGAUCUGGAGUUCGGUAGAGGGUCGUGGAAUUUCGGGUGUAGCGGUGGAAUGCGUAGAUAUCCGAAAGAACACCGGUGGCGAAGGCGGCGACCUGGGCCUGAACUGACGCUGAGGAGCGAAAGCUAGGGGAGCAAACGGGAUUAGAUACCCCGGUAGUCCUAGCUGUAAACGGUGGAUACUAGGUGUGGGGGGUAUCGACCCCCCCCGUGCCGCAGUUAACACAUUAAGUAUCCCGCCUGGGAAGUACGGCCGCAAGGUUGAA
This 377-nucleotide ribosomal RNA is filed under the name uncultured bacterium. RNAcentral describes it as "bacterial SSU rRNA". It matches the Rfam family "Bacterial small subunit ribosomal RNA", at positions 524 to 898 of the family's 1533-position model. The record is from RNAcentral.